This 359-nucleotide unclassified non-coding RNA is filed under the name Hevea brasiliensis (rubber tree). Lineage: Eukaryota; Viridiplantae; Streptophyta; Magnoliopsida; Malpighiales; Euphorbiaceae. The record is from RNAcentral.
CAUCAAUGCAACCUGCCCUCUCUGCAAGUUCAACAUUCUAAAGGCAAGCAACCAAAUUUGUAGUGAAGAAGUAUAGAAACCAGGUUGUCGACAAGAGUUCCGGACAGAACUUCUUGCCUAGCUGUGUUAUCAUGUGCACAUGACCAUCUUGCUAGCAGUGGACCGUAUUCACUGGAGACAGAAUCUAGCCUGUGCCAAUCUCAAGAUUUAUCAUUACAAUGUGUAAUUAUCUGUAACUUUUCUCGGUCUCUCUGCCUAAUGUAUAUGAUAUUUUUACUGUUAAUUAUUAGAGAAACAGAUUUAAUGAGUAGUUGGUACUUGUUAGUGAAGGGUUUCGUUUGUAAAUUAAAAAAAAAAAA